UGGUAUUUCAUUGCUACAUCUUGUGGUGGCCAUCAAGGGACAUUGCAAUUGGAAAUGAGUCUGUGCAUUGGAGAGAUGGACAAACCCACCUUCAGUGCUGCUGCGGUUGCCCAGAAGUCAGUGAAGUGACAUGAAGAGGGAACAGCGGCCAUUAGAUUUCUUCACAAAGCGAGCUUCCUCGUUCUCUGUCCAUCAUAACUUCAGUAAAGCCAGUGGUCUGGAUUCUGCAGAAAAAUGAGACCAUUACCCAACAGAAAAUACUUGGCUCUGGGAAGAGACAUGGAGGAAAUGUCUGACAGAUCUGUGUGACAGAGAGCAGCACUCCCUUGGUGAGGAAGGAGUGAUGGAUGUCCUCAUUGUGGCCAUUUUGGUUAAGGAGAAAUUGCUGUCUAACUGAUCUUUUGUGGACUUCUGACCAAAACCAUCCAGUGCAACAUAUGCACAGACACAUCCAGAUUCCUGCUAGGAUUUGGAAUUGGCAUCGAGCAACACCCACUCCUCCACCCGGACCAGAAACCACCGAGAUGUCCCUCCCUCGGAUGAAGCUCAUGUGUCACUCACAACCCAUGGCAGAGGGCGUGCAGGGGCUUGGAGCAGUCAUCAAAUGUAGGCCUGCCAGCAGUCUUUGUUAACGGAGUAGGAAGGCUUGGUGCAUCCCGCUCAUGUGGCCUGAAAGGAACUGGAAAGCUGCUUGAUUCCAGCUAAUGAAUCUUUAAAGCCCAGCGUGGGA
Molecule: long non-coding RNA, 730 nt
Organism: Gallus gallus (chicken)
Lineage: Eukaryota; Metazoa; Chordata; Aves; Galliformes; Phasianidae
Source: Ensembl